This is a long non-coding RNA of Panicum virgatum (switchgrass), 1345 nucleotides long. RefSeq lists it as uncharacterized. The record is from RefSeq and is a predicted model, not a curated record. The transcript has 2 exons. NCBI's taxonomy places the organism in Eukaryota, Viridiplantae, Streptophyta, Magnoliopsida, Poales, Poaceae.
ACCGCCGCCGCCGAUGGCCCGCGUGAAGGAAGGAGUGAGAUCGAGCUGGCGCACGCGCCACAUCAGAGGAAGAUGGCCUGAUGCGCUCUGAUUUGGGACGCGGUAACUACAUCCUCUCAGUUUCGUCAUUUGGUCUCGAUUCAGCAGAUUGAUGCAUAUUCCCGCUAGCACCGUAGCAGCUGCCUGCAUCGACCGUGGCCCUGUGCAUCAUCAUCUCCAUAUAGUGGAUCCCGAUCUAAAAGUCUGCUAGGCAUGGCGGCAAAACGCCAAUCUGGCCGGAAGGAGUUGCGGUAAGGAUCUGCUUGAAGGAAGGAGUCGAGAUCUGGCUGGCGCAGGGCAAGAGCAGCGAAGCCUCUGGCUGGAUCAGGGGAGAAUGGCAGGAGAGCUGCGUUGGACGUCCACGCCAAGUACAUUCGUAGAAGCAAGGAUUUAUCUGUUGGAGUCACUCGGAAAGUACAUACAGGAAUAUUUGUGUAAUUAUAAGUGCUCUUAGUCCAUCCCAAUCCCUGUUUCUUUUUUGUCCAAUUUUUGGCUAGGAUCCGCACAACGUAAUUUGGAGCUAUCCCUGUGUGUGCUCCAUCCCUAGUUAGAACAUAGGAGAUUCGUAGACCCCAUCCACAGAAUUUUUUAUUCACAAUAGCACCAAAUGACUGAGAUUGUCUGACCUGAAUUUGUCUUUGAAUAUGGCCCCAAAAUUGACAAAAACUGACUCAUUCAUGUUGACCAUUUUUCAUGUAGAAUAAAUUCCCUGAAUGCCAUUGAAAUUUUCUCAAUGCCAUUCAAUGGUAUUACUAGUUUCACCAUAGGUGUACAGCUGGCCAGCAAAGCAGCAUCAAAUAUUAAUCAUAGGCACCCUGAUACAAACAUAUUGAAUCUGACAGUGUAACCCAUAACUUAGGUAAAUGAGGCAAAUGCAAUAUUGUUACUCUUACGAUGAAGAGCCGUGUGAUCAAACAAUUUGAAGCACAUGUUAUUAGAUUUAUUAGAUAUAAAGCUGCAUUUGUGUACGUCGUAAUUUUCUUGUUCUAUAUGUUACAGCAGGUCAACUGAAGAAAUUCUUUCUUGUUUUAUAUGUUACAGCAGGUCAGCUGAAGAAGUUCAUUGAAUUUUACAUUUGCAGUGCUGCCGCUGUGACGUCUGACUGCAGUUCAGUUGAAAGGAGGCACAUUAGCACAUACACUGUCAAUCUUAGUUAUCUUGGAUAGGUGGUGUGCUGGUAAUCCUGCUGAUGCGUGUACAAUCUUCUGAUCCGUGUGCACAUUAACUGAAUUUUAAUGUAAUUGAUAUUUCACUCCAUGCGUCUUGCGUGUUGCUUGUCCUGUUCGGCACAAUGUGACAUUUUUCA